This 458-nucleotide ribosomal RNA is filed under the name uncultured bacterium. RNAcentral's name for it is "partial 16S ribosomal RNA". It matches the Rfam family "Bacterial small subunit ribosomal RNA", at positions 29 to 507 of the family's 1533-position model. The record is from RNAcentral.
AACGAACGCUGGCGGCAUGCCUAACACAUGCAAGUCGAACGAAACCUUCGGGUCUAGUGGCGCACGGGUGCGUAACGCGUGGGAACCUGCCCUUAGGUUCGGAAUAACUCCCCGAAAGGGGUGCUAAUACCGGAUAAUGUCUUCUGACCAAAGAUUUAUCGCCUUUGGAUGGGCCCGCGUUGGAUUAGCUAGUUGGUAGGGUAAAAGCCUACCAAGGCGACGAUCCAUAGCUGGUCUGAGAGGAUGAUCAGCCACACUGGGACUGAGACGCGGCCCAGACUGCUACGGGAGGCAGCAGGAGGGAAUCUUACGCCAUGGGCGACAGCUUGACGGAGCAACGCCGCGUGAGUGAUGAAGGUCUUCGGAUCGUAAAACUCUGUUAUUAGGGAAGAACAAAUGUGUAAGUAACUAUGCACGUCUUGACGGUACCUAAUCAGAAAGCCACGGCUAACUACGUG